This 488-nucleotide long non-coding RNA is filed under the name Rattus norvegicus (Norway rat). RNAcentral describes it as "long non-coding RNA NONRATT015804". Lineage: Eukaryota; Metazoa; Chordata; Mammalia; Rodentia; Muridae. The record is from RNAcentral.
AGCGGCCGGGUGCAGCCUGUGCUGGUGGGCGCGGUGGCCCGAAGCCUUGGACUCACUGCAGGACUGUGCAGGGAACCACUGUCCAAGCAUCGGGCUAAUAGGGGGCGCCUGCCUCGGUUUACCCUUCAGCGUCUGGUGAAAUCCCGCAGCGUCUAGGGAAAGAUCCGUUCUGCUCCGCGAGGGAAACAGAGCCGUUGACCAUGGUUGCAACGGGCAGUUUGAGCAGUAAGAACACGGCCAGCAUUUCAGAGUUGCUGGACGGUGGCUCUCACCCUGGGAGUCUGCUAAGUGGUGAGUCACCGGGCUGUCCACCUCUUUCCUAUCCGAAGGUUGCAGCCCCUCUCUAGUGUAAGCGUCCCUGCUGGAGAGCGCGAGACUUCAUUUCCUCCUAGAGACAGAGAGGACUAUGAAACCCAUCUGAGAUGUCUUUCUAAACUCCUUAGCAUUGUCUGCCCACCAGAAACAAACGUAAGGAGAAUAAUGCAUUG